UACGUAGGGUGCGAGCGUUAAUCGGAAUUACUGGGCGUAAAGCGCACGCAGGCGGUCUGUCAAGUCGGAUGUGAAAUCCCCGGGCUCAACCUGGGAACUGCAUUCGAAACUGGCAGGCUAGAGUCUUGUAGAGGGGGGUAGAAUUCCAGGUGUAGCGGUGAAAUGCGUAGAGAUCUGGAGGAAUACCGGUGGCGAAGGCGGCCCCCUGGACAAAGACUGACGCUCAGGUGCGAAAGCGUGGGGAGCAAACAGG
This 253-nucleotide ribosomal RNA is filed under the name uncultured bacterium. Its description in RNAcentral is "partial 16S ribosomal RNA". It matches the Rfam family "Bacterial small subunit ribosomal RNA", at positions 524 to 776 of the family's 1533-position model. The record is from RNAcentral.